RNAcentral lists this small nuclear RNA (107 nucleotides) under Catagonus wagneri (Chacoan peccary). Lineage: Eukaryota; Metazoa; Chordata; Mammalia; Artiodactyla; Tayassuidae. The record is from RNAcentral.
GUGCUCGUUUCGGCAGCACAUACAGUAAAAUCGGAACGACACAGAGAAGACGACCAUGGCCCCUGUGCGAGGAUGACACGCACAUUCGUGAAGCGUUCCAUAAAAAA